AGUGGCGGGGGAGCGACUAACCGGCCUUAAAUGGUACGGAGGAAGUUCUGCCCACCGAUGAAUUUGCGCGCCUUAUAAAAAGGGCGCGGCUUAGAAGCCCCGAAGCGCUUAAGGCGCAAUCGGAAACAGAAACGAUACCUGCCCCCUUUGAUGAGGAUGAGGAAACGCACUAAAAUGCGCGACGAGAGAAGGGAGGCUUGCUGAAACGGUCCGUGCGGGCAAUCGCGAAAGCGGCUCUGCUGCAUGAAAAUGCAGGGGGCAAAAUGUGCGGUGCAAGGCUUUAUGCCGCUCAGUCCAAUGUCGCUUAGAAACAGAAGGCAGGCUACCACCUGCCACU
RNAcentral lists this RNase P RNA (337 nucleotides) under Candidatus Anstonella stagnisolia. RNAcentral describes it as "RNaseP_arch". It matches the Rfam family "Archaeal RNase P". From Rfam's summary of the family: Ribonuclease P (RNase P) is a ubiquitous endoribonuclease, found in archaea, bacteria and eukarya as well as chloroplasts and mitochondria. Its best characterised activity is the generation of mature 5'-ends of tRNAs by cleaving the 5'-leader elements of precursor-tRNAs. The record is from RNAcentral. Lineage: Archaea; Nanobdellati; Microcaldota; Candidatus Micrarchaeia; Candidatus Anstonellales; Candidatus Anstonellaceae.